AGUGAACGCUGGCGGUAGGCCUAACACAUGCAAGUCGAACGGCAGCACAGUAAGAGCUUGCUCUUACGGGUGGCGAGUGGCGGGCGGGUGAGGAAUACAUCGGAAUCUACUUUUUCGUGGGGGAUAACGUAGGGAAACUUACGCUAAUACCGCAUACGACCUACGGGUGAAAGCAGGGGAUCUUCGGACCUUGCGCGAUUGAAUGAGCCGAUGUCGGAUUAGCUAGUUGGCGGGGUAAAGGCCCACCAAGGCGACGAUCCGUAGCUGGUCUGAGAGGAUGAUCAGCCACACUGGAACUGAGACACGGUCCAGACUCCUACGGGAGGCAGCAGUGGGGAAUAUUGGACAAUGGGCGGAAGCCUGAUCCAGCCAUACCGCGUGGGUGAAGAAGGCCUUCGGGUUGUAAAGCCCUUUUGUUGGGAAAGAAAAGCAGCAGGUUAAUACCCCGCUGUUCUGACGGUACCCAAAGAAUAAGCACCGGCUAACUUCGUG
Molecule: ribosomal RNA, 492 nt
Filed under: uncultured bacterium
Lineage: Bacteria
Description: partial 16S ribosomal RNA
Rfam family: Bacterial small subunit ribosomal RNA
Source: RNAcentral